This 69-nucleotide transfer RNA is filed under the name Popenaias popeii. RNAcentral's name for it is "tRNA-Asn". Lineage: Eukaryota; Metazoa; Mollusca; Bivalvia; Unionida; Unionidae. The record is from RNAcentral.
AGGGAAGAAGCUUCGCAUAAAGCAAUUAGCUGUUACCUAAUAGAUAGUGAUUAUAUCUCACCUACCCUA